Molecule: transfer RNA, 52 nt
Filed under: Pingus sinensis
Lineage: Eukaryota; Metazoa; Nematoda; Chromadorea; Rhabditida; Quimperiidae
Description: tRNA-Asn
Source: RNAcentral
AAAACCGGAGAAUGUAUUUUAAGGUUGUUAACUUAAAGUUUGCGGGGUUUUA